GGUUUAAUUCGAUGCAACGCGAAGAACCUUACCAGGCCUUGACAUCCUCGGAACUUUCCAGAAAUGGAUUGGUGCCUUCGGGAACCGAGAGACAGGUGCUGCAUGGCUGUCGUCAGCUCGUGUCGUGAGAUGUUGGGUUAAGUCCCGUAACGAGCGCAACCCUUGUCCUUAGUUGCCAGCAUUUCGGAUGGGAACUCUAAGGAGACCGCCGGUGACAAACCGGA
This 224-nucleotide ribosomal RNA is filed under the name uncultured bacterium. Its description in RNAcentral is "partial 16S ribosomal RNA". It matches the Rfam family "Bacterial small subunit ribosomal RNA", at positions 943 to 1167 of the family's 1533-position model. The record is from RNAcentral.